GACGAACGCUGGCGGCGUGCUUAACACAUGCAAGUCGAACGGUGACGGAGAGCUUGCUCUCCUGAUCAGUGGCGAACGGGUGAGUAACACGUGAGCAACCUACCCCUGACUCUGGGAUAACAGUUGGAAACAGCUGCUAAUACCGGAUACGACCCUGGCAGGCAUCUGCCGGGGUGGAAAGCUCCGACAGUCAGGGAUGGGCUCGCGGCCUAUCAGCUUGUUGGUGAGGUAACGGCUCACCAAGGCGUCGACGGGUAGCCGGCCUGAGAGGGCGACCGGCCACACUGGGACUGAGAUACGGCCCAGACUCCUACGGGAGGCAGCAGUGGGGAAUAUUGCGCAAUGGGCGAAAGCCUGACGCAGCAACGCCGCGUGCGGGAUGACGGCCUCGGUGUAACGCUUCAGCAGGACGAAGGUUCGUGACGGUACUGCAGAGAAGCACCGGCUAACUACGUGCCAGCAGCCGCGGUAACA
Molecule: ribosomal RNA, 474 nt
Filed under: uncultured bacterium
Lineage: Bacteria
Description: bacterial SSU rRNA
Rfam family: Bacterial small subunit ribosomal RNA
Source: RNAcentral